UACAGAGGUCCCAAGCGUUGUUCGGAUUCACUGGGCGUAAAGGGUGCGUAGGUGGCCGGAUCAGUCUGAUGUGAAAUCUCGGAGCCCAACUCCGAAACGGCAUUGGAUACUAUUUGGCUGGAGGUUGGGAGGGGGGACUGGAAUUCUCGGUGUAGCAGUGAAAUGCGUAGAUAUCGAGAGGAACACCAGCGGCGAAGGCGAGUCCCUGGACCAAUCCUGACACUGAGGCACGAAAGCCAGGGGAG
Molecule: ribosomal RNA, 245 nt
Filed under: uncultured bacterium
Lineage: Bacteria
Description: partial 16S ribosomal RNA
Rfam family: Bacterial small subunit ribosomal RNA
Source: RNAcentral